RNAcentral lists this ribosomal RNA (1398 nucleotides) under Escherichia coli. Its description in RNAcentral is "partial 23S ribosomal RNA". It matches the Rfam family "Bacterial large subunit ribosomal RNA", at positions 1551 to 2925 of the family's 2925-position model. Lineage: Bacteria; Pseudomonadati; Pseudomonadota; Gammaproteobacteria; Enterobacterales; Enterobacteriaceae. The record is from RNAcentral.
CAAGGCUGAGGCGUGAUGACGAGGCACUACGGUGCUGAAGCAACAAAUGCCCUGCUUCCAGGAAAAGCCUCUAAGCAUCAGGUAACAUCAAAUCGUACCCCAAACCGACACAGGUGGUCAGGUAGAGAAUACCAAGGCGCUUGAGAGAACUCGGGUGAAGGAACUAGGCAAAAUGGUGCCGUAACUUCGGGAGAAGGCACGCUGAUAUGUAGGUGAAGCGACUUGCUCGUGGAGCUGAAAUCAGUCGAAGAUACCAGCUGGCUGCAACUGUUUAUUAAAAACACAGCACUGUGCAAACACGAAAGUGGACGUAUACGGUGUGACGCCUGCCCGGUGCCGGAAGGUUAAUUGAUGGGGUUAGCGCAAGCGAAGCUCUUGAUCGAAGCCCCGGUAAACGGCGGCCGUAACUAUAACGGUCCUAAGGUAGCGAAAUUCCUUGUCGGGUAAGUUCCGACCUGCACGAAUGGCGUAAUGAUGGCCAGGCUGUCUCCACCCGAGACUCAGUGAAAUUGAACUCGCUGUGAAGAUGCAGUGUACCCGCGGCAAGACGGAAAGACCCCGUGAACCUUUACUAUAGCUUGACACUGAACAUUGAGCCUUGAUGUGUAGGAUAGGUGGGAGGCUUUGAAGUGUGGACGCCAGUCUGCAUGGAGCCGACCUUGAAAUACCACCCUUUAAUGUUUGAUGUUCUAACGUGGACCCGUAAUCCGGGUUGCGGACAGUGUCUGGUGGGUAGUUUGACUGGGGCGGUCUCCUCCUAAAGAGUAACGGAGGAGCACGAAGGUUGGCUAAUCCUGGUCGGACAUCAGGAGGUUAGUGCAAUGGCAUAAGCCAGCUUGACUGCGAGCGUGACGGCGCGAGCAGGUGCGAAAGCAGGUCAUAGUGAUCCGGUGGUUCUGAAUGGAAGGGCCAUCGCUCAACGGAUAAAAGGUACUCCGGGGAUAACAGGCUGAUACCGCCCAAGAGUUCAUAUCGACGGCGGUGUUUGGCACCUCGAUGUCGGCUCAUCACAUCCUGGGGCUGAAGUAGGUCCCAAGGGUAUGGCUGUUCGCCAUUUAAAGUGGUACGCGAGCUGGGUUUAGAACGUCGUGAGACAGUUCGGUCCCUAUCUGCCGUGGGCGCUGGAGAACUGAGGGGGGCUGCUCCUAGUACGAGAGGACCGGAGUGGACGCAUCACUGGUGUUCGGGUUGUCAUGCCAAUGGCACUGCCCGGUAGCUAAAUGCGGAAGAGAUAAGUGCUGAAAGCAUCUAAGCACGAAACUUGCCCCGAGAUGAGUUCUCCCUGACUCCUUGAGAGUCCUGAAGGAACGUUGAAGACGACGACGUUGAUAGGCCGGGUGUGUAAGCGCAGCGAUGCGUUGAGCUAACCGGUACUAAUGAACCGUGAGGCUUAACCUU